AUCCGGCUGACGAGUCUCAAAUAAAACAAAACGUACUUUCUGGAU
This 45-nucleotide non-coding RNA is filed under the name Schistosoma margrebowiei. Lineage: Eukaryota; Metazoa; Platyhelminthes; Trematoda; Strigeidida; Schistosomatidae. The record is from RNAcentral.